This 738-nucleotide long non-coding RNA is filed under the name Lynx pardinus (Iberian lynx). The record is from RNAcentral. Lineage: Eukaryota; Metazoa; Chordata; Mammalia; Carnivora; Felidae.
AAAAAGUUGAGGAGCCUUUUUUAUUGAAAUUACGUUUGUAAAUGAAAGCAACGGUCUGUGAAUAUUCAGAUGACUACUCCAACAAAAUCGUUCUUGCACUUUUUUUCUUAGUAUUUCUCCAGCUUCUGUUGCCCCAUGAACUCUUAUUUUGCUGAAUUUUGUGGUUAAUUUGCUGGAUCCAGCCUGCCUUAUUUAGAAUUCUAACUGGGUAAGAAAAUUGCCUUUUCAUUACAAGUGCCCAAUUUUGGUCUCUAGUUGGAAGGUACUACAUUUUGCAGAGAAAGGAAAACAACAUCCUUCCCACCCCACCCCACUUUUGUGUUUCUGGGAAAAAAAAAAAACCCCAUUCAGUACUGGUUUCAUAGUAGUGCUCAACCUAAAUUGGUCCCGAACCUACAUGAGUGUUUAGUGUUUGAAAAUAAGAUUUUGGGUGUGAUACAUCACUACAAAAAGUGCUAAAUGUAUUAAGAACUUGAUGCCGACUGUAUUUAUAACAAUUAUUUUACAUUUGCAGAAAUGUAGCGCUUUUCCUACAAAUACGUAGGUGUAAGAAAAAAAGGGGGAAAGGUGCACCAUGUUUUAAACUUGCAAAUGAGUGAUUUUUUUUUUUUGAAAUCCAGAUUCCCCAAAGGAAAUUCACACACUUCUCAGCCUUUUACAAGCCAACACACUGACUGAAGAUUGUCCACAGUUCCUAAGAUUUAGCACAUAUACAAAAAUAAAACUUUAUAAAUUAAA